This is a small nucleolar RNA of Colossoma macropomum (tambaqui), 69 nucleotides long. Lineage: Eukaryota; Metazoa; Chordata; Actinopteri; Characiformes; Serrasalmidae. The record is from RefSeq and is a predicted model, not a curated record.
UUUCUGUGAUGAUAACUUUGUCCAGUUCUGCUACUGAGUGUAAGUGAUGCAGUUUGCGACUCUGAGAAA